Molecule: ribosomal RNA, 279 nt
Filed under: uncultured bacterium
Lineage: Bacteria
Description: partial 16S ribosomal RNA
Rfam family: Bacterial small subunit ribosomal RNA
Source: RNAcentral
UGCCAGCCGCCGCGGUAACACGUAGGCAUCAAGCGUUGUUCGGAAUUAUUGGGCGUAAAGCGCGUGUAGGCGGUUCGUUAAGUCUGAUGUGAAAGCCCGGGGCUCAACCCCGGAAGUGCAUUGGAAACUGGCGAACUUGAGUACGGGAGAGGAAAGUGGAAUUCCGAGUGUAGGGGUGAAAUCCGUAGAUAUUCGGAGGAACACCAGUGGCGAAGGCGGCUUUCUGGACCAACACUGACGCUGAGGUGCGAAAGCGUGGGUAGCAAACAGGAUUAGAUA